ACAGCCCGGGGGGGGCGGGGGGGGGGGGCGGGUCGCGGCCGCUCGGCCCCAUCGCCCGCCCCGGCCCGGGAGCGGCCCCGGCCCCGGCCCCGCCGGCGGGCACGGCACGGCAGGGCACGGCAGGGCGGGGGGCUCGCCAGGAGCCCCCGCCGGUGCCCGCACCCGGUCAUGGCGCCACGGGUGGCCGGUCCGGGCGAGCGGCUGGAGGAGCCCGCGGCCCGCGCGUAGGCCUCUCCUGCCGGGACCCAGCGCCUCGGGCUCCGGGAGGCGAGGGCUGCGGCCCCGGCUCGGCCUCGCAGCGGGCGGGUGGCACUGCCCCGGGGGUGCCCCCCUCCCCGUGCCCGGCCGGUUUAACGCCGCUGGCUGCGGCCUAACGGGGCGGCGGAGCCCGGGCCGCGGCCAGCCCGGGCCAGGCCUGCCGUCUGGGCGGGAAGGAAGAAGGGCAGCUGCAGCCGGGGGGCGGCUGAGACCCUCGCCCGGCAGCGGAGCAUCCGCCGUGACAGGAGGGCGGGCGGGAGCGCGGUGGCAGCAGCUGGACAAACGCGGUGGCACAGCCCUCUCUGCUCUGACAGCCGGUGACUUUGUGCUCUUUGCGUGACCCCGGCCUCCCCGGCCGGGGGGGGAGGCUCCGUCAAACGGCGACUUUUCCCACCUUCGUACUUCUCUCAAAAGGAGGAGAAGCAUCUUGCUUAGGUUUCUGAGCCAACAGACCUUGAUCCACCCAGCAGCCCUCACUCCAGCUGAACCUCCAGCCCUGUCUGCCUCCUACAACCUGAUGCCGUUCACCUACCCCCUUAGCAGUGACGUUAAACACAAACCCGCACUCGGCCACCAAUUAGCUAAUUAGUCCAACAUGAUUGUGCUGAGAUCUUUGCAGGGGCGUCGCGGCUCCCUAAGGCCACAGAUACAUCAAGCACGUCUCCUGCUAGCGAAAAAGCUAAUAAAGCUACACGGUUGCAUCUUUGAAUAAAAGUUACUUUGCCGUUUUUAGGAAA
This is a long non-coding RNA of Apus apus (common swift), 995 nucleotides long. RefSeq lists it as uncharacterized. The transcript has 2 exons. The record is from RefSeq and is a predicted model, not a curated record. NCBI's taxonomy places the organism in Eukaryota, Metazoa, Chordata, Aves, Apodiformes, Apodidae.